This 465-nucleotide ribosomal RNA is filed under the name Vreelandella stevensii. RNAcentral's name for it is "partial 16S ribosomal RNA". It matches the Rfam family "Bacterial small subunit ribosomal RNA", at positions 338 to 795 of the family's 1533-position model. Lineage: Bacteria; Pseudomonadati; Pseudomonadota; Gammaproteobacteria; Oceanospirillales; Halomonadaceae. The record is from RNAcentral.
CCUACGGGUGGCAGCAGUGGGGAAUAUUGGACAAUGGGGGGAACCCUGAUCCAGCCAUGCCGCGUGUGUGAAGAAGGCCCUCGGGUUGUAAAGCACUUUCAGUGAGGAAGAACGCCUGGUGGUUAAUACCCAUCAGGAAAGACAUCACUCACAGAAGAAGCACCGGCUAACUCCGUGCCAGCAGCCGCGGUAAUACGGAGGGUGCGAGCGUUAAUCGGAAUUACUGGGCGUAAAGCGCGCGUAGGUGGCUUGAUAAGCCGGUUGUGAAAGCCCCGGGCUCAACCUGGGAACGGCAUCCGGAACUGUCAAGCUAGAGUGCAGGAGAGGAAGGUAGAAUUCCCGGGGUAGCGGUGAAAUGCGUAGAGAUCGGGAGGAAUACCAGUGGCGAAGGCGGCCUUCUGGACUGACACUGACACUGAGGUGCGAAAGCGUGGGUAGCAAACAGGAUUAGAUACCCUUGUAGUC